This 492-nucleotide ribosomal RNA is filed under the name uncultured bacterium. Its description in RNAcentral is "partial 16S ribosomal RNA". It matches the Rfam family "Bacterial small subunit ribosomal RNA", at positions 29 to 507 of the family's 1533-position model. The record is from RNAcentral.
AGUGAACGCUGGCGGUAGGCCUAACACAUGCAAGUCGAACGGCAGCACAGUAAGAGCUUGCUCUUACGGGUGGCGAGUGGCGGACGGGUGAGGAAUACCUCGGAAUCUACUUUUUCGUGGGGGCUAACGUAGGGAAACUUACGCUAAUACCGCAUACGACCUACGGGUGAAAGCAGGGGAUCUUCGGACCUUGCGCGAUUGAAUGGGCCGAUGUCGGAUUAGCUAGUUGGCGGGGUAAAGGCCCACCAAGGCCACGAUCCGUAGCUGGUCUGAGAGGAUGAUCAGGCACACUGGCACUGAGACACGGUCCAGACUCCUACGGGAGGCAGAAGUGGGGAAUAUGGGACAAUGGGCGCAAGCCUGAUCCAGCCAUACCGCGUGGGUGAAGAAGGCCUUCGGGUUGUGAAGCCCUUUUGUUGGGAAAGAAAAGCAGCAGGUUAAUACCCCGCUGUUCUGACGGUACCCAAAGAAUAAGCACCGGCUAACUUCGUG